AGCGUCAUUACACCCCUCAAGCGUAGCUUGGUAUUGGGUGCUCGCCCCUCGGGGCGCGCCCGAAAAACAGUGGCGGUCCGGUGCGACUUCGAGCGUAGUAAAUUAUCUCCCGCUUUGGAAGUUCGCCCCGUGGCCGGCCAUCAAUGCCCAACUUUUCAGUGAUUGACCUCGGAUCAGGUAGGGAUACCCGCUGAACUUAA
Molecule: unclassified non-coding RNA, 200 nt
Filed under: soil metagenome
Description: partial contains internal transcribed spacer 2 and large subunit ribosomal RNA
Source: RNAcentral